This 254-nucleotide ribosomal RNA is filed under the name uncultured prokaryote. RNAcentral describes it as "partial 16S ribosomal RNA". It matches the Rfam family "Bacterial small subunit ribosomal RNA", at positions 524 to 776 of the family's 1533-position model. The record is from RNAcentral.
UACGGAGGGGGCGAGCGUUGUCCGAAGUUACUGGGCGUAAAGGGCGCGUAGGCGGGGUGUCACGUCCGCUGUGAAAACCUGCAGCUUAACUGUGGGCGUGCGGUCGAUACGGGCAUCACUGGAGUUCGGCAGGGGAGACUGGAAUUCCUGGUGUAGCGGUGAAAUGCGCAGAUAUCAGGAGGAACACCGGUGGCGAAGGCGGGUCUCUGGGCCGAUACUGACGCUGAGGAGCGAAAGCGUGGGGAGCGAACAGG